GUUUGGAGAACAAUGGUUGCCAAUGUGGCAUAGCUUUGUAUGCUUUGCGGGGGGCGGAUACUCCCGUUCUUGGUGCGGAAUCCGCGUUCAAACA
This 94-nucleotide transfer RNA is filed under the name termite gut metagenome. RNAcentral's name for it is "tRNA-Thr". The record is from RNAcentral.